Molecule: transfer RNA, 67 nt
Filed under: Marmota monax (woodchuck)
Lineage: Eukaryota; Metazoa; Chordata; Mammalia; Rodentia; Sciuridae
Description: tRNA.Ala
Source: RNAcentral
GGUUGUGGCUCAGUGGUGGAGCGCUGGCCUGGCACAUGCGGGGCCUUGGGUUCGAUCCUCAGCACCA